RNAcentral lists this ribosomal RNA (371 nucleotides) under uncultured bacterium. RNAcentral describes it as "bacterial SSU rRNA". It matches the Rfam family "Bacterial small subunit ribosomal RNA", at positions 527 to 896 of the family's 1533-position model. The record is from RNAcentral.
GGGGGGUGCAAGCGUUGUUCGGAAUUAUUGGGCGUAAAGCGCGUGUAGGCGGUCUGAUUAGUCUGAUGUGAAAGCCCUGGGCUCAACCCAGGAAGUGCAUUGGAUACUGUCAGACUUGAAUACGGGAGAGGGUAGUGGAAUUCCUAGUGUAGGAGUGAAAUCCGUAGAUAUUAGGAGGAACACCGGUGGCGAAGGCGGCUACCUGGACCGAUAUUGACGCUGAGACGCGAAAGCGUGGGUAGCAAACAGGAUUAGAUACCCUGGUAGUCCACGCCGUAAACGAUGAGUACUAGGUGUUGCGGGUAUUGACCCCUGCAGUGCCGCAGCUAACGCAUUAAGUACUCCGCCUGGGAAGUACGGUCGCAAGACUA